Molecule: long non-coding RNA, 3718 nt
Filed under: Hordeum vulgare
Lineage: Eukaryota; Viridiplantae; Streptophyta; Magnoliopsida; Poales; Poaceae
Description: long non-coding RNA (HVUL_LNC012563)
Source: RNAcentral
CUUCAUUCUGUAGGUUCUUAAUCAAGGUAGUAGCAAAUUCUCUAAGUUUUCCUCUAUACAAAUUUUGACUUGUUUGGUGUUCUUUACAUUUUUCUCAUAAUUAUUUUGUAUACUGAAAGAACAUUCCAGCCUAGUUUGCAUACAGCUCGCGCAUAUGUUUGCCACAAACAGAUGUGGGUGAGUGUGUGUGUGUUCUUACAGGUUUAAUACUUGCAGUAACUGAUCGACAGUUAUUGUGGGCAACAAGCAGGGGAAUGCUAAUCAUGGUGGUGAUGGUUUUAUAAUAGACCUGAAUCAAUUUGGCCCUACAGAUUGGAGCAACAUGCGAGAUGCCUUUGCAUCAUGUAGCUUCGUCCAUAUGAUUCAUAUUAUUUUCUUGAAUCUAUCAACUAGAGCAUUCUACAUGUAUGUGUUGCAUGUGUUCUCAUUUACUUUUUGUUGGGUAACGUAGCAUAAAUUCAAAAAAAUUCAAACGCAUAUUCAGAUCUUCAUAUGGAGAGACCAGCAACGAGAGAGGGGUGAGUGCAUCUUCAUACCUUUGAAGAUCGCUAAGCGGAAGCGUUGCUAGAGCGCGGUUGAUGGAGUCGUAUUCGCGGUGAUUCAGAUCGCGGUGUGAUUCCGAUCUAGUGCCGAACCACGGCACCUCCGCGUUUAACACACGUGCAGCCCGGUGACGUUUCCGCACCUUGAUCCAGCAAGGAGGAGGGAGAAGUUGAGGAAGAUCUCCGGCAGCACGACGGCGUGGUGUCGAUGGAGAGACGAGGUCUCCCGGCAGGGCUUCACCAAGCACCGAGGGAGAGGAGAAAGGAGGGGGCAGGGCUGUGCCGAGGGAGAGGGAAAACUGUGUGCAAAACAGCCCCAAAAUCCCCACUAUACAUAGGAGGAGUGGAGGGGGUGCCACCCCUAGGGUUCCCACCCUAGGUGGUGCGGCAGCCUCCCCAGAUGGGAGGUGCGGCGGCUAGGGUAGGGGGAGGGGGUGGCGCACCCCUAGGUGGGCCUUAUGCCCACCAGCGCCUAGGGUUUCCCCCCUUCUCCACCUCCUGCGCCUUGGGCCUCCUUGUGGGAGGCGCACCAUCCCACUUUGGGCUCGUUGCCCUCCCUAUUUUGGCCCAUGCUACCUCUUGGAGCUGGUGGCUCCUCCCGGUGGACCCCCGGGACCAUUCCCGGUGGUCCUGGUACAUUACCGGUGACGCCCGAAACAUUUCCAGUGUCCAAAACCAUCCAUCCUAUAUAUCAAUAUUUACCUCCGGACCAUUCCGGAGCUCCUCGUGACGUCUGGGACCUCAUCCGGGACUCCGAACAACUUUCGGUAACCUCGUAUAACAAUUCCCUAUAACCCUAGCGUCAUCGAUCCUUAAGUGUGUAGACCCUACAGGUUCGGGAGACAGGCAGACAUGACCAAGACACCUCUCCGGCCAAUAACCAUCAGCGGGGUCUGGAUACCCAUGGUGGCUCCCACUUGCUCCACGAUGAUCUCAUCGGAUGAACCACGUUGUCAAGGAUUCAAUCAAUCCUGUAUACAAUUCCCUUUGUCUGUCGGUAUAGAACUUGCCCGAGAUUCGAUCGUGAGUAUACCUAUACCUUGUUCACUCUCGUUACCGGUAAGUCUCUUCACUCGUUCCGUAGCACGUCAUCGUGUGACUAACUCCUUAGUCACAUUGAGCUCAUGAUGAUGUUCUACCGAGUGGGCCCAGAGAUACCUCUCCGUCACGCGGAGUGACAAAUCCCGAUCUCGAUUCGUACCAACCCAACAGACACUUUCAGAGAUACCCGUAGUGCACCUUUAUAGUCACCCAGUUACGUUGUGAUGUUUGAUACACCCAAAGCACUCCUAUGGUAUCCAGGAGUUGCACAAUCUCACGGUCGAAGGAAAAGACACUUGACAUUAGAAAAGCUUUAGCAUACGAACAAUACGAUCUAGUGUUAUGCUUAGGAUUGGGUCUUGUCCAUCAAAUCAUUCUCCUAAUCCCCUUAUCAAUGACAUCUAAUGCCCAUGACGAGGAAACCAUGAUCAUCUAUUGACUACCGAGCUAGCCACCUAGAGGCUUGCUAGGGACACAUUGUGAUCCAUUUAUUCACACAUGUAUUACUGUUUCCUGUUAAUACAAUUAUAGCAUGAACAAUAGACGAUUCUCAUGAACAAGGAAAUACGAUAAUAACCAUUUUAUUAUUGCCUCUAGGGCAUAUUUCCAACACUUUUAUCAUGCCAUAAUUUUUUUACAGAAGAGAUAAUUAUUGUUAGUGGGGCGAGAGUUGAUGAUAUACUAUCAGUAGAUAGACUAGGGUGCAAACUAUCUUAAUAUAUGUAAAUAACAAUGCAUACCAACCUCACAUUCUUUGAGGAGCAAACUGAUAUUAUGGUUACAGUUUUUGACAAAAACAAGGAAUCUUAGUAAGCAUUGUAUAUUCAUGUUACAUGGUUUGCCGUACCUUGCGGCCAUCAGCUCAGCAUGUGCUUACAAAAUGCGUGCAUUAUCUGGCCAACCAUUCUUCCUUUUGCUACCUGAACCGACAACAUGCAUUGUAGUAAUUUCUUGUUUCUGUUAAUUCCAGAUUCUUGAAUACCUUCCUAACCUCAUACAUUCGAUCACCGGUCUGAACUUGUCGGCCAACGACCAAGAGUUCCGAGACAAAUGUACGACACUCCUCAGGAAACAUAGGUGAGACGAUCUAGCAUUCAGUAUUUAAUUAUCUUUUCCCUAUAGUCUUCUACGUGUAAUUUUGGCACUAGGUUAAUGUAAUUUCUAUUGUAUUCAUGUUGUAAAGAAUGGCUUCAGCAUCACAGGAUGUGCAAUAAUAAGGGCUAAAUUUAUCAUCCACUUUUUUGUUGCUUCUUAUUCACCCAAGUGUUGUAGUCUCUUCUCAUCACUGUAUUUGUCCAUCAGUCAUCCCUUCCCUUGUGCUUCCUUUCCUCUCGUCUUCUUCCGCAAAUCUUUGAACUUAUAGUAAGAAUAUUAUUCGUGAUGCCUCAAAAAAAAUCUGAUUGUUUAACACUGAGUACAUAAUUUUUGUAGUAAGACAUGUGAUAUUCUAGAUCUAGCCUAACUUGGGUUGAUGUUCUUAUAAGGAUAUCUUAUGUAACCAAACUAUUUGCAAUACAUCUUCUAUUUUUAGAUCAUGUUUUAGAUAUUUGGGUCAAGGGUAACUUGCAAGUUUGAAGAAAUUCCCAUUCCUAUAAUUUCUCAAAUAUAUAACUUCUUUUGCAGGGACAUGUGGAAGAAAGUAGGAAGUAUGCAAGUUGAUCUAAGAUGUUCUGAUGAUCACUUUUGUUGAUUACAUGGUUGAAACAUUUUGUUCAUACGGAUGUCUAUGUCGGCUUGGUGAUUGAAGGAUUGGUAUCUUUCAUAUGGAAGUUGAUGCGGUCUUGGUGAUUGAAGGACACGUCUCUUUCAUACAAGUUGAUGCUGACUUCGUGAUUGGGUCUGGUCUCUUUCAUAUUUUCUCUCUUAGGAGCUUGGCCCUCAUGCUUUGGACCAGCAUGUGUCUUGUAUGUCAGACCUAUGUAUUUGCUUAAUGGUUGUAGCUAACUUGAGUGAAGAAAACUAAUGAAUCUUCAAUUUACGUUGAAUAAAGCUAUUGUUCAAUGGUAUCUUGUGAUGAAUAGAAGAGUGAAAUUAUUUGUAUAUGUAUUGUGUAGUGAAUAUGAAUUGAAUAUUAUGAAUGUAAUUUCAUUCAAAUAUGGUGCAUUUGCAGUUGUUCUGAAAUGUAGAGCCCGGAC